AUUGAACGCUGGCGGCAUGCUUUACACAUGCAAGUCGAACUGUAACAGGUUAAGCUGACGAGUGGCGAACGGGUGAGUAAUACAUCGGAACGUGCCCGGUCGUGGGGGAUAACACUUCGAAAGAAGUGCUAAUACCGCAUACGAUCUGAGGAUGAAAGCGGGGGACCGUAAGGCCUCGCGCGAUCGGAGCGGCCGAUGUCAGAUUAGGUAGUUGGUGGGGUAAAGGCUCACCAAGCCGACGAUCUGUAGCUGGUCUGAGAGGACGACCAGCCACACUGGGACUGAGACACGGCCCAGACUCCUACGGGAGGCAGCAGUGGGGAAUUUUGGACAAUGGGCGCAAGCCUGAUCCAGCAAUGCCGCGUGCAGGAAGAAGGCCUUCGGGUUGUAAACUGCUUUUGUACGGAGCGAAAAGGCUCUCUCUAAUACAGGGGGCUCAUGACGGUACCGUAAGAAUAAGCACCGGCUAACUACGUGCCAGCAGCCGCCGUAA
Molecule: ribosomal RNA, 493 nt
Filed under: uncultured bacterium
Lineage: Bacteria
Description: partial 16S ribosomal RNA
Rfam family: Bacterial small subunit ribosomal RNA
Source: RNAcentral